CUUUUGUUGCGAAAAGGGCUUGGAGAAUUGAGCAAGUCCCUGUACUAGGCUGUUUUAUUAAAACAUCUCUUUUAUACACUUGCCUAUAUCAUGAUAAUACAAUAAUUUCGAUUGUAAAUAGGCAGCUAUUUUGAGAGUUAUUAAAGUGUUAUAUAUAAGUAUAGAGUUCGCCAGAUAAGCCCGUUCUCUAAGGUGGAAACACUGUAUUAAGACAGCAUACACCAAAACUCAAUGAACUAAAAGAUUUUAUUAAUUGAAAGGAAAAGAAACCAACCGGGAUUGCGCUAGUAGUACAGAGCGAAAGUGCAUAAGCUUGAUUAAAUAUUUUUUUGUUUACAGUUGAACUUAAGUGGAAUCCGGGACCAGAGAAAGUUAUAGUCUUGUAGAUUGUAAAAUAAAAAAAGUGCUGUAAUUGUUUAUAAGCACGCAACCAUUUAUUUUUUGAAUCCAGUAAAGUAAUAAAUGGGGAAGAUCAAUCAAAUUAGUGGUUUAACCCUGCUAGUGAUUAACGGAAACCACUCCGUUGGCUAAAUAUUCUAUGUAGAUCGAUAGUGAAUCAGUACUGUAAAGGAAUUUGGAAACAAGAAUGCCGUUGCUUCUCUGAAUACAAGUCCCAAAACAGGUUGCUUAUAAUGACUUUCAGUUUGGCAGUUAUAAUGUUGAAUAGAAAGGUUCCUUUUGAAUCAUGAGCUGAUGACUUUGUGUUAGUUUAAGGCAUGCAUUCAUUUUGUAAUAUCAUUGGUCUUUUUUUUUUUCAAAUAAAAAGCAGGUAUAAUUAAUGCGAGUAGCUUAAUUUAUUAAAAGUAAGCUUAUUAUGAAAGUAUUCAUAAAAAACUAACACAAAACGCGAAACGAAGUGAGCUUAAGUAGGCCAGGGGGAAGGUUACCGGAAGGUAGUUGGACGCCCGAAGUGGUAUGCGUUGCAACGCAUUCAUAUGAGUUUAUUUAAGUGGCGAAAUACCAAUCGAACUUCGAAAUAUCUCGUUUUUUGCGAAACCUUUUUAGGAAGGGGGCCUGCAAAAUAAAUGCUAACUAGGUAGAGCGCUGUAAAACUGAUGGGAAGGAAACUUUUACUGAGGUGUUGCAAACCACGAAUUAGGGGCAUUUUAUCAGGUACUCAGUCAGUGCGGGACAAGCUGCAUUUGACAAGAAGGAAACAGCCUAGACUAUGAAUUAAGGCCCGAAAAUAGCGCUAAGUGAGAAAGUAAUUAACUUCACAAAAAUUAGUAGGACGUUUGAUUAGUAGCAUCUACCGUUUCAAGAAAGCGUAAUAGCUCACUACUAUAGUUUAGUUGUUGCGAAAAUUUAGCCGGACUAAGCGCUAUGCCGAAAUUAUAGCUAACUGGAUCUUAAUAAAAGUCAGUUAGAGUAGCAAAACGAACCAUGUUGACAAAGUUACGUCGGUAAGACUUAAUGAAAAUAUUGGUUGUGAAUAUAUCAGCUAGAGUAACAUAUAAAUUGAGACUUUAAAUAAAUAAUUGUUUUAUAUUAAUCUUGUUUUAUUGUAUUUGUAUAAAGUUUAUUUAUUAAAAAAAUAGUAUCUCAAUGAUCGGAAAUCCUGGGUUUUCUACACAACUGUUAAAGAUGUAGUUAAAAAUACGGUCCCUAAGUAAUGUAAAGGUUACGAUGGGUACCUGCUAUGCCCAAUAAAAUCUAAUUUGUAGAUCUGUUGCAGGAAAAAAUAGCAGGAAUUUACACAAAAAUCGAUUUUUUUUGUACAAAAUAAUACCGUACUAAAACUGACUCUGGCGGAUUAGUAGAUUUUACUAAGAUUUGGUUAUAAUCGUUCGUAAGGAACUCGGCAAAUUGCGCUGGUACUUUCGAAAACAGCGGUCUAAAAGCAAUCUUUUAGAUCUCAGAUAAGAGAACUGGGUGACAGUUUACUAAAAACUUAGCGUCCUGCCAAUUUGAAACAAGACGUAUAGGAUGUGACGUUUGCUAACGGCCACUAAUUUAAGUAAUCUGUUGUAAAAGGUAGAUAAACAAGAUGUGGUGACGAGCGGCCGUAACUAUAACGGUCAUAAAGUAGCGAAAUUCCUAGGCAUUUAAUUGGUGUCCUGCAUGAAUAACGUAACAACCUGGUUGCUGUCUCGCGAGCGAAAACCGUGAAAUAAGAAUAUCGGUUAAAAUACCGAUUAGGCUGUCUUAGACGAUAAGACCCUGUGAAGCUUUACUGUAACCUAACAUUGCGAUCGGUUUUUUACCUUACAGCUAGGCGGGAGGCAAUGCCAACAAUGGAAAACCGCUAGAUAAUAAAUUGGUCGCUUUUAUAUAAGAGUACUUUUUAAUCUAUAAGAUAUUUAUAUAAGACACGUAAUAUAAGAAAUUUUAUGUGAAUAGAAUAAGCUUUAUGUUAACCCUUGUAUAAAACACUUUAAUUAACAAAGCUCGAAGACAGUGUUAGGUGGGCAGUUUACUUGGGGCGAGGUCUGGCUAAAAAGUAACGCCAGAGAGCAAAAGGUAUGCUCAGUAUUGUCGGAAACGAUAUGUAGAGCGUAAUAGUAUAAGCAUGCCUGAUUAUAAGACUGACAAGUCAAAUAAGGACGAAAGUCUGCUAUAGUGACCCUCACAUGCUAGGUGGAAAGGUGUGAGAUCAACGAAUCAAAGUUACUCCAGGGAUAACAGGGUAGUCCUGGCUUAUAGUUCUUAUAGACGCCAGGGUUCGCCACCUUAAUUAGCAUUGGGGCUCUUAUCUAGGAAACUAGAUUAGGAAUGCAUUUGGCUAUAUGCUGGAACCCCCGUUUGCAUUAAAUUUAACAAAGAACAUUAUUUUUAAUAGCAAUGUAAAUAUUACGUGGCUUGCUUGUUUUAUAAAAAGCUUGUUGACACAUGUGAUUGCGGGCAAUCAGCAGGGAAGUUCAAGCAACUUAUAUUUUUCUGUUGCAUAACCCCUCAACGACCACACGCCGAACACCCUUAUAAUGGGUGAUGAUAUGGUCUACUCUUACAAGAAAUUGUAAGUCAAUUCAAAUUAUAAAUAAAUUGAAUUGAUAUACACAACUACAUAAAAAACAAAUUUUUUCUUUAUACUUUAUACGUUAUGAUACAAAAAAAUAACUUAUCAACAUUACCUUUGUUUUUGCAAAGGCAAAAUGCCAACUGGUACAAAAAAGCCGACGUUUGGGUUCAUAAAGACGAACCAAGAAAGCUAUACGGUAAAAAUCUUGUAACCUAUAAAAAAACACUCAAACUAACGCCGCAGCAAAAACGUAUUUUAAUAGGAAGUUUACUAGGUGAUGGGUAUAUUGAUUUUCAUAGAUCUGCAAAACAACCAAGUUACUACUUUUGCUUUGCUCAAACCUGGCAUGCUGCAGAUUAUGUUGAUCACAUUUAUCAAAUAUUUAAACCAUUUGUAGGUACUCCGCCUAAAAUAAAUAAAAUCGGCGGCAUAAAGUCAGGUUUGCCAAAGCGUUAUGAAGUUCGUUUUAAAACUUAUGCUCACGAAGAGUUUAAGUAUUACUACGAUUUAUUUUACUUUUGCCUGCGGCAAAGCAAAGGUCCUGAAGUAGAUGGUCAAAGAAAAAAGCGUGUUCCACAAAAUAUAAAAAGUAUAUUAACAGCUGAGGGCCUGGCUUACUGGUAUAUGGAUGAUGGUACAACACGGACAUAUAUAACAGGGAAAAAAUCUUAUGUUAUUUCAACUCAAGGUUUUUGUUAUGAAGAUCAGGUUAUAUUAAUUGAUGCUUUAAAAGAAACAUUUGGUCUUGAUUGCGGUGUGCAUAAAGAUAAAACCUACUUUAGGUUAGGUUUUAGAGCAUCAUCUAAUACGCUGUUUUUAAGCUUAAUAAAACCGUAUAUACACGCAUAUUUUGAUUAUAAGCUUUAAGUAAUAUAAAAACACUGCCAAUUGUAGUGUGUAUAAUAAUAUACAGACGAUGUUGCCUCAGGUCAUCCUAGAGCUGCACAAGGUUCUAAGGGCGCAACUGUUCUUUGCAUAAUGACCUACGUGAGGUGAGUUUAAACCGCCGUAAGGCAGGUUUGGUUCUAUCUAGACAGCCAUAAUAUUUAACCAAGCACUAGAAUUCCACUGUACGAAAGGACCCGGAAUUCCGCGCCAAUGGUUUAGCAAUUGUUUUGAAAAAAGCAUGGUUGCAACGCUAAGCGUGAAAUGUUAAUUGCUGAAAAACUAUCAAGCAAGAAACAAUUGUAAAGGUUAUAGUACAUCGCAUUUGCGUAAAUAGGCAGGGGGUGUAAGUGUUGUAAGACAUUAAGCUACCCUGUACUAAUUUUUU
Molecule: ribosomal RNA, 4232 nt
Filed under: Ulva prolifera
Lineage: Eukaryota; Viridiplantae; Chlorophyta; Ulvophyceae; Ulvales; Ulvaceae
Description: 16S ribosomal RNA
Rfam family: Bacterial large subunit ribosomal RNA (bases 169-2726)
Source: RNAcentral